AAACAUCCACGCGCCGAUUUGAGCUCGCAGCUUGCGGGCGCGGAAAAAAUGCAGCUAAAGCGCCGGCCGGUCUCACGG
Molecule: non-coding RNA, 78 nt
Filed under: Hyphomicrobiales bacterium
Lineage: Bacteria; Pseudomonadati; Pseudomonadota; Alphaproteobacteria; Hyphomicrobiales
Source: RNAcentral